GACGAACGCUGGCUGCGUGCUUAACACAUGCAAGUCGAACGCUGAAACCCUGGUGCUUGCACCGAGGUGGAUGAGUGGCGAACGGGUGAGUAACACGUGAGUAACCUGCCCCCGACUUCGGGAUAAGCCCGGGAAACUGGGUCUAAUACCGGAUAUGAGCGCCCCUCGCAUGAGGGAUGCUGGAAAGUCUUUUCGGUUGGGGAUGGGCUCGCGGCCUAUCAGUUUGUUGGUGAGGUAAUGGCUCACCAAGACGACGACGGGUAGCCGGCCUGGGAGGGCGACCGGCCACACUGGGACUGAGACACGGCCCAGACUCCUACGGGAGGCAGCAGUGGGGAAUAUUGCACAAUGGGGGAAACCCUGAUGCAGCGACGCAGCGUGCGGGAUGACGGCCUUCGGGUUGUAAACCGCUUUCAGCAGGGAAGAAGCCCCUUGGGGUGACGGUACCUGCAGAAGAAGUACCGGCUAACUACGUGCCAGCAGCCGCCGUAA
This 492-nucleotide ribosomal RNA is filed under the name uncultured bacterium. Its description in RNAcentral is "partial 16S ribosomal RNA". It matches the Rfam family "Bacterial small subunit ribosomal RNA", at positions 28 to 523 of the family's 1533-position model. The record is from RNAcentral.